This 207-nucleotide ribosomal RNA is filed under the name uncultured bacterium. Its description in RNAcentral is "partial 16S ribosomal RNA". It matches the Rfam family "Bacterial small subunit ribosomal RNA", at positions 568 to 774 of the family's 1533-position model. The record is from RNAcentral.
UGCGCAGGCGGUUAUGUAAGACAGAUGUGAAAUCCCCGGGCUUAACCUGGGAACUGCAUUUGUGACUGCAUAGCUGGAGUACGGUAGAGGGGGAUGGAAUUCCGCGUGUAGCAGUGAAAUGCGUAGAUAUGCGGAGGAACACCGAUGGCGAAGGCAGUCCCCUGGACCUGUACUGACGCUCAUGCACGAAAGCGUGGGGAGCAAACA